GACGAACGCUGGCGGCGUGCUUAGCACAUGCAAGUCGAACGGUGAAGGGGUCUGCUUUUGUGGGCCCUGGAUGAGUGGCGAACGGGCGAGUAACACGUGAGUAACCUGCCCCCUUCUUCUGGAUAACCGCAUGAAAGUGUGGCUAAUACGGGAUAUUCUGGGUCUGUCGCAUGAUGGGUCUGGGAAAGAUUGCGCCUUUGGGUGUUUUUGGUGGGGGAUGGGCUCGCGGCCUAUCAGCUUGUUGGUGGGGUGAUGGCCUACCAAGGCGGUGACGGGUAGCCGGCCUGAGAGGGUGGACGGUCACACUGGGACUGAGACACGGCCCAGACUCCUACGGGAGGCAGCAGUGGGGAAUAUUGCACAAUGGGCGCAAGCCUGAUGCAGCGACGCCGCGUGAGGGAUGGAGGCCUUCGGGUUGUAAACCUCUUUCGCCAGUGAAGCAGGCCUGCUCCUUGUGGGUGGGUUGACGGUAGCUGGAUAAGAAGCGCCGGCUAACUACGUG
Molecule: ribosomal RNA, 502 nt
Filed under: uncultured bacterium
Lineage: Bacteria
Description: partial 16S ribosomal RNA
Rfam family: Bacterial small subunit ribosomal RNA
Source: RNAcentral